This 1169-nucleotide ribosomal RNA is filed under the name Klebsiella pasteurii. RNAcentral describes it as "partial 23S ribosomal RNA". It matches the Rfam family "Bacterial large subunit ribosomal RNA", at positions 1 to 1212 of the family's 2925-position model. Lineage: Bacteria; Pseudomonadati; Pseudomonadota; Gammaproteobacteria; Enterobacterales; Enterobacteriaceae. The record is from RNAcentral.
GGUUAAGCGACUAAGCGUACACGGUGGAUGCCCUGGCAGUCAGAGGCGAUGAAGGACGUGCUAAUCUGCGAAAAGCGUCGGUAAGGUGAUAUGAACCGUUACAGCCGGCGAUGUCCGAAUGGGGAAACCCAGUGCAAUUCGUUGCACUAUCGUUUGAUGAAUACAUAGUCAAACGAGGCGAACCGGGGGAACUGAAACAUCUAAGUACCCCGAGGAAAAGAAAUCAACCGAGAUUCCCCCAGUAGCGGCGAGCGAACGGGGAGCAGCCCGGAGUCUGAAUCAGCUUGUGUGUUAGUGGAAGCGUCUGGAAAGUCGCAGGGUACAGGGUGAUACUCCCGUACACUAAAACGCACAGGUUGUGAACUCGAAGAGUAGGGCGGGACACGUGGUAUCCUGUCUGAAUAUGGGGGGACCAUCCUCCAAGGCUAAAUACUCCUGACUGACCGAUAGUGAACCAGUACCGUGAGGGAAAGGCGAAAAGAACCCCGGCGAGGGGAGUGAAAAAGAACCUGAAACCGUGUACGUACAAGCAGUAGGAGCCCACUUGUUGGGUGACUGCGUACCUUUUGUAUAAUGGGUCAGCGACUUAUAUUCUGUAGCAAGGUUAACCGUAUAGGGGAGCCGCAGGGAAACCGAGUCUUAACUGGGCGUUAAGUUGCAGGGUAUAGACCCGAAACCCGGUGAUCUAGCCAUGGGCAGGUUGAAGGUUGGGUAACACUAACUGGAGGACCGAACCGACUAAUGUUGAAAAAUUAGCGGAUGACUUGUGGCUGGGGGUGAAAGGCCAAUCAAACCGGGAGAUAGCUGGUUCUCCCCGAAAGCUAUUUAGGUAGCGCCUCGUGAAUUCAUCUUCGGGGGUAGAGCACUGUUUCGGCUAGGGGGUCAUCCCGACUUACCAACCCGAUGCAAACUACGAAUACCGAAGAAUGUUAUCACGGGAGACACACGGCGGGUGCUAACGUCCGUCGUGAAGAGGGAAACAACCCAGACCGCCAGCUAAGGUCCCAAAGUCAUGGUUAAGUGGGAAACGAUGUGGGAAGGCCCAGACAGCCAGGAUGUUGGCUUAGAAGCAGCCAUCAUUUAAAGAAAGCGUAAUAGCUCACUGGUCGAGUCGGCCUGCGCGGAAGAUGUAACGGGGCUAAACCAUGCACCGAAGCUGCGGCAGCGAC